AAAGACACGCUAUUUAAAUACAGAUCCAACUUAGAAAUAAUGUUUCAUUCAAGAUAAGGCUCGUGGCUUAGGAGAUUGUGACCUGGCUUGCAUCAUUCUAAGACUUCUAUCGUCUGUUUUCAAAACCCAAGGAGGACCUCCUUUUCUGUGUGAUAGUUCCUCAUGCUUUGCCAGCCACUGGGUCUUUAAGGAAGCUUGCCAAGAGUUCCCGGCUGGGAAGGACAGUUCGAGUUCAUCAUAGACAAUGAGCUGGCACCACAGUUUAAGUGACUCACCAACCUGGUUGCCCACUUCAAAAUGUCAAGAACCACACUAUCUAAUUGAAAGAACUGUGUUUUAGCAAAGUGUAAUUGGAUCGCCUGGCAAGAUCAUCUCAAACUAUGUCUCUGACCUUGCCUUUCAGUGGCUAUUUUGAGCACAAGAGGAGAAAGGAAAUGAUUCCUGAAUUAUAUCUUGUUUUUAAAAAUUAAGAUUAAUUAAUACUUGGUUUUAUGUUCAUUCCAUUGUAGGAACUUAGUGAUUAUUACAAAACAGUCAAAAUAGGUCAUAGCAAAAUGAACGUUUAAGAUUAGGUUAAAACAUUCCUCUGAAAUUUUAGUAUUCACUUUUGAAGUGUCAAUUACUAUAUUUCUGUAAUUUCUCAUUUUUUUCUUGGCUUAGAGUCAAGAUGAAAAAUGAUAUUUGAAUCAAAG
RNAcentral lists this long non-coding RNA (692 nucleotides) under Homo sapiens (human). RNAcentral describes it as "SOX2 overlapping transcript". Lineage: Eukaryota; Metazoa; Chordata; Mammalia; Primates; Hominidae. The record is from RNAcentral.